UUUUUUUUUUUUUUUUUUUUUUUUGGAAGGGUGGUCCAGAGAAGGGGCAUCGAACUCAGCAUGAGGGAAUCUGGAAACACAUCCCAAAAAAGUGAUUGAAUUGACCUAAGCCUUAAAGGAUAAGUAGAGGUUGGCUAGGCAAAGGAGACAUGAAAGGGCAUUGCAAAGAGAGGGAACAGAGUAUGCAAAGGCAUUUCUGAACUCAUGGUAAUAAUGGUUGUCCUUCUUGUCUCAAAUUGUCCUCUUCUUUCUAUCCUCUCACCUAUUCGCAUGUCACAAUGGGAGAUAGAAAGCCAGCGAAGAAUCAGACCAAGAGUUGCUCCACAGGAUGCUUAUGUUCUGGCAUACCUAGCAGAGGAAAGGGGGUAAAGGGAUAAAUUUGGGGUUAGAAUAACUGAAUUUGGGCUCAGGCACUUCAUCCACAUAAACUCCAUUUAACUCUAAGGCUCGAAAGACCGAUAUGUGAGGGAAUCAUCACAUCAACCUUGCAAAUUUUUCCUUUUGAUCCUUUAUUCCUAUUUUAUAAAUGAGGAAACGGAAGGUCAGAGAGGUGAUGUCACCUGCUUGAAGUAACUCUGUUAGUAAGUGGCAUGAUUUGGGGUUUGAACUCAGGAAAGUUUGGCUCCAAAACCUGUGUUCCCAUGUUCUCAGCUUCUGAAAACCUUCUCUCCCUUGAAAGCAUGAUGUCUUUUAGUAACAAUAGCUAAAAAUCAUUUAUUGCAAGCUCAGUCUAUAAUUUCAAACUGCUUCCCUCAACAUGUCAGUCCUUUGAGCCUUAGAUUUAUCAGCUGUAAAGGAAGACUGUGGUAGAAAAUACUACUGUUCAUCAAUAUUCAGUUCCUUUCUACUUUUAGUAAUACAGGGAUGUUAUACCUCUUUUCUUCCUUGAAGCUAGAUAUGGCCAUAUGGCUUGCUCUGACCAAUGAAAUAUGAGUAGAAGUGACAUGUGUCACUUUAGGGUGGAAGCAUUUAAGAGAUCGUGUGAUUCUCUGUCUUCUCUUAACGCUACUACUAGACAACAUUCCGAAUGAUAGUACCUCCACCAGCCUGGGUUUCUGUGUAAAAGUGACAUAUACCAGAGUCCUCCACUGGCUGGCAAUGGAUAUGAAUGAGUGUAUUACACACACAUGCACACACACACACAUACACACACACUUUCAUUGGUUUAAGCCACUAAAAUUCUGGAGUUGUUUGUCAUCUCAGCAUAACCUAUUAUAUCCUAACCAAUAUAGAGGUUAAUGGUCUCUAUUUCACAGAUUUGUUGUAAGGAUCAAUGGAAUAAUGGAAGUAGAAGUGCUUUAUAAAUUCUGAGGCUGUGUGCACUUGCCAAGUGGUAUGUCUGAGUUCAGGUCCUAUUGAACUGUGCUCUAAUGGAAUAUCACUAUACAAAUAAGAUAUUUUUAGACACUUGUAUCUUUUUACAUUAUGGGCAGAUAUUUACUUGUCUGCAUAGCAUUCUUGUGUGGGAGGCUUCCCUUUUAUGGAUAAGAAGGGACCAAUUCUGAAAACUG
Molecule: long non-coding RNA, 1511 nt
Filed under: Macaca fascicularis (crab-eating macaque)
Lineage: Eukaryota; Metazoa; Chordata; Mammalia; Primates; Cercopithecidae
Description: lncRNA (ENSMFAG00000055963.1)
Source: RNAcentral